GCCCAUCAUGGCGAGUGAUGCCUCUAAUCCCAAGUAGGCUAAGAUUGGAGGAUCUCUUGAGCUCAGGAGUUCUGACCUAAAGUAGACUAAAGAUGAUUGGGUGUCUGUACUAAGUUUAGCAUUAAUUUAGUGAGACCCCAAGGGCUAGGGGUUACCAGGUUAGAUAAGGAAGAUUGAACUGGCCCAGGUCAGAAACAGAGCAAGUCAAAGUCCCCAUGCUGAUCAGUAGUGGGAUCAGGCCCAUGAGUAGACCCCUGCACUUCCAGCCUGGGUAAUAUAGGGAGGCUAAGACUAA
RNAcentral lists this signal recognition particle RNA (295 nucleotides) under Vombatus ursinus (common wombat). Its description in RNAcentral is "Metazoan signal recognition particle RNA (ENSVURG00010011104.1)". It matches the Rfam family "Metazoan signal recognition particle RNA". Rfam says of the family: The signal recognition particle (SRP) is a universally conserved ribonucleoprotein. It is involved in the co-translational targeting of proteins to membranes. Lineage: Eukaryota; Metazoa; Chordata; Mammalia; Diprotodontia; Vombatidae. The record is from RNAcentral.